UACGUAGGGGGCAAGCGUUGUCCGGAUUUAUUGGGCGUAAAGAGCGUGUAGGCGGCCAUGCAGGUCAGCUGUGAAAACUCGAGGCUCAACCUCGAGACGUCGGUUGAAACCAUCUGGCUAGAGUCCGGAAGAGGAGUGUGGAAUUCUCGGUGUAGCGGUGAAAUGCGUAGAGAUCGGGAGGAACACCAGUGGCGAAGGCGGCUACCUGGACCAGCACUGACACUGAGGCACGAAAGCGUGGGGAGCAAACAGG
RNAcentral lists this ribosomal RNA (253 nucleotides) under uncultured bacterium. RNAcentral describes it as "partial 16S ribosomal RNA". It matches the Rfam family "Bacterial small subunit ribosomal RNA", at positions 524 to 776 of the family's 1533-position model. The record is from RNAcentral.